Molecule: ribosomal RNA, 793 nt
Filed under: uncultured Gemella sp.
Lineage: Bacteria; Bacillati; Bacillota; Bacilli; Caryophanales; Gemellaceae
Description: bacterial SSU rRNA
Rfam family: Bacterial small subunit ribosomal RNA
Source: RNAcentral
CUGGUGCUUGCACUAGAAAAACUUAGCGGCGAACGGGUGAGUAACACGUAAAGAACCUGCCUCAUAGACGGGGACAACUAUUGGAAACGAUAGCUAAUACCGGAUAACAGCAUAAAUCGCAUGAUAUAUGUUUAAAAGUUGGUUUCGGCUAUCACUAUGAGAUGGCUUUGCGGUGCAUUAGCUAGUUGGUGGGGUAAAGGCCUACCAAGGCGACGAUGCAUAGCCGACCUGAGAGGGUGAUCGGCCACACUGGGACUGAGACACGGCCCAGACUCCUACGGGAGGCAGCAGUAGGGAAUCUUCCGCAAUGGGCGAAAGCCUGACGGAGCAACGCCGCGUGAGUGAAGAAGGAUUUCGGUUCGUAAAGCUCUGUUGUUAGGGAAGAAUGAUUGUAUAGUAACUAUAUACAGUAGAGACGGUACCUAACCAGAAAGCCACGGCUAACUACGUGCCAGCAGCCGCGGUAAUACGUAGGUGGCAAGCGUUGUCCGGAAUUAUUGGGCGUAAAGCGCGCGCAGGUGGUUUAAUAAGUCUGAUGUGAAAGCCCACGGCUCAACCGUGGAGGGUCAUUGGAAACUGUUAAACUUGAGUGCAGGAGAGAAAAGUGGAAUUCCUAGUGUAGCGGUGAAAUGCGUAGAGAUUAGGAGGAACACCAGUGGCGAAGGCGGCUUUUUGGCCUGUAACUGACACUGAGGCGCGAAAGCGUGGGGAGCAAACAGGAUUAGAUAUCCUGGUAGUCCACGCCGUAAACGAUGAGUGCUAAGUGUUGGUCUCAUAAGAGAUCAGUGCUGCA